GACUUGAGGCGCAUGGCGCGCGUCCGCUUCACUUGAGCUGUGAAGUAUCUUUCAACCUUCAAGCGGAAGGCGUCGGUUCGACUCCGGCUCAAGUCU
Non-coding RNA from Mycena metata, 96 nucleotides. NCBI's taxonomy places the organism in Eukaryota, Fungi, Basidiomycota, Agaricomycetes, Agaricales, Mycenaceae. The record is from the annotation of a GenBank genome assembly.